RNAcentral lists this ribosomal RNA (878 nucleotides) under Flavopunctelia sp. KCR-2019b. Its description in RNAcentral is "partial large subunit ribosomal RNA". It matches the Rfam family "Eukaryotic large subunit ribosomal RNA", at positions 72 to 965 of the family's 3401-position model. The record is from RNAcentral. Lineage: Eukaryota; Fungi; Ascomycota; Lecanoromycetes; Lecanorales; Parmeliaceae.
GGAUUGCCUCAGUAACGGCGAGUGAAGCGGCAAUAGCUCAAAUUUGAAAUCUGGCCCUUUCGGGGUCCGAGUUGUAAUUUGUAGAGAGUGUUUCGGGUGAGACCACGGUCUAAGUCCGUUGGAACACGGUGUCAUAGAGGGUGAGAAUCCCGUCUGUGACCGUGGAUCGAGCCCAUGUGAAGCCUCUUCGACGAGUCGAGUUGUUUGGGAAUGCAGCUCAAAAUGGGUGGUAAAUUUCAUCUAAAGCUAAAUACUGGCUGGAGACCGAUAGCGCACAAGUAGAGUGAUCGAAAGAUGAAAAGCACUUUGGAAAGAGAGUGAAACAGUACGUGAAAUUGUUGAAAGGGAAGCGCUUGCAACCAGACCUGCCCGUAGGCGAUCAGCCGCUGUUCUCAGUGGUGCACUCGCUCUGCGAUCAGGCCAGCAUCGGUUUCGGCGGUCGGAUAAAGGCCUUGGGAAUGUAGCUCCUUUUCGGGGGAGUCUUAUAGCCCUUGGUGCAAUGCGGCCAGCCGGGACCGAGGACCGCGCUUCGGCUAGGAUGCUGGCGUAAUGGUUGUAAGCGACCCGUCUUGAAACACGGACCAAGGAGUCUAACAUCUAUGCGAGUGUUUGGGUGUCAAACCCAUGCGCGGAAUGAAAGUGAACGGAGGUGAGAACCCUUAAGGGCGCAUCAUCGACCGAUCCAGAUGUCUUCGGAUGGAUUUGAGUAUGAGCAUAGCUGUUGGGACCCGAAAGAUGGUGAACUAUGCCUGAAUAGGGUGAAGCCAGAGGAAACUCUGGUGGAGGCUCGCAGCGGUUCUGACGUGCAAAUCGAUCGUCAAAUUUGGGUAUAGGGGCGAAAGACUAAUCGAACCAUCUAGUAGCUGGUUCCUGCCGAA